Molecule: ribosomal RNA, 459 nt
Filed under: uncultured bacterium
Lineage: Bacteria
Description: bacterial SSU rRNA
Rfam family: Bacterial small subunit ribosomal RNA
Source: RNAcentral
GUGACGAAGCGACGCCGCGUGCGGGAAGAAGGCCUUCGGGUUGUAAACCGCUGUCGGGAGUUAAGAAAUGCAAGGGUGUUAACAGCGUCCUUGCUUGACUAAGGCUCCGGAGGAAGCCACGGCUAACUCUGUGCCAGCAGCCGCGGUAAUACAGAGGCGGCAAGCGUUGUUCGGAAUUAUUGGGCGUAAAGAGCACGUAGGCGGCUGUGUAAGUCGGUUGUGAAAGCCUUCCGCUCAACGGAAGAAGCGCAUCCGAUACUGCAUAGCUCGAGUGCGGGAGGGGAGAGUGGAACUUCUGGUGGAGCGGUGAAAUGCGUAGAUAUCAGAAGGAACACCGGCGGCGAAGGCGACUCUCUGGUCCGUAACUGACGCUGAGUGUGCGAAAGCUAGGGGAGCAAACGGGAUUAGAUACCCCGGUAGUCCUAGCCGUAAACGAUGGGCACUAAGUAGAGGGGUUUU